AGAGCGAACGCUGGCGGCAGGCCUAAUACAUGCAAGUCGAACGGACCCUUCGGGGUUAGUGGCGGACGGGUGAGUAACACGUGGGAACGUGCCCUUUGGUUCGGAACAACUCAGGGAAACUUGAGCUAAUACCGCAUGAUAUUCCGGGAACCUCGGUUUCUGGAUUCAAAGGCCGAAAGGCCGUUGGGGGAGGGGCUCGCGCCCGAUUAGCUUGUUGGCGAGGUAAUGGCUCACCAAGGCUUUGAUCGGUAGCC
Molecule: ribosomal RNA, 254 nt
Filed under: uncultured bacterium
Lineage: Bacteria
Description: partial small subunit ribosomal RNA
Rfam family: Bacterial small subunit ribosomal RNA
Source: RNAcentral